RNAcentral lists this ribosomal RNA (485 nucleotides) under uncultured bacterium. Its description in RNAcentral is "bacterial SSU rRNA". It matches the Rfam family "Bacterial small subunit ribosomal RNA", at positions 1 to 525 of the family's 1533-position model. The record is from RNAcentral.
GCUAUUUAGGUUAGAGUUUGAUCCUGGCUCAGAGCGAACGCUGGCGGCAGGCUUAACACAUGCAAGUCGAGCGGGCGUAGCAAUACGUCAGCGGCAGACGGGUGAGUAACGCGUGGGAACAUACCUUUUGGUUCGGAACAACACAGGGAAACUUGUGCUAAUACCGGAUAAGCCCUUACGGGGAAAGAUUUAUCGCCGAAAGAUUGGCCCGCGUCUGAUUAGCUAGUUGGUGAGGUAACGGCUCACCAAGGCGACGAUCAGUAGCUGGUCUGAGGGGAUGAUCAGCCACAUUGGGACUGAGACACGGCCCAAACUCCUACGGGAGGCAGCAGUGGGGAAUAUUGGACAAUGGGCGCAAGCCUGAUCCAGCCAUGCCGCGUGAGUGAUGAAGGCCCUAGGGUUGUAAAGCUCUUUUGUGCGGGAAGAUAAUGACGGUACCGCAAGAAUAAGCCCCGGCUAACUUCGUGCCAGCAGCCGCGGUAAUG